UGGGGGCCUUUCGGGAGGCAGCAGUGGGGAAUUUUGGACAAUGGGGGCAACCCUGAUCCAGCAAUGCCGCGUGUGUGAAGAAGGCCUUCGGGUUGUAAAGCACUUUUGUCCGGGAAGAAAUCCCUUGAGCUAAUAUCUCGGGGGGAUGACGGUACUGGAAGAAUAAGCACCGGCUAACUACGUGCCAGCAGCCGCGGUAAUACGUAGGGUGCGAGCGUUAAUCGGAAUUACUGGGCGUAAAGCGUGCGCAGGCGGUUGUGCAAGACAGAUGUGAAAUCCCCGGGCUCAACCUGGGAACUGCAUUUGUGACUGCACGGCUAGAGUGUGUCAGAGGGGGGUAGAAUUCCACGUGUAGCAGUGAAAUGCGUAGAUAUGUGGAGGAACACCGAUGGCGAAGGCAGCCCCCUGGGAUAACACUGACGCUCAUGCACGAAAGCGUGGGGAGCAAACAGGAUUAGAUACCCUGGUAGUCCACGCCCUAAACGAUGUCAACUAGUUGUCGGGUCUUAAUUGACUUGGUAACGCAGCUAACGCGUGAAGUGACUGCCUGGAGU
RNAcentral lists this ribosomal RNA (554 nucleotides) under Noviherbaspirillum agri. RNAcentral's name for it is "bacterial SSU rRNA". It matches the Rfam family "Bacterial small subunit ribosomal RNA", at positions 329 to 879 of the family's 1533-position model. The record is from RNAcentral. Lineage: Bacteria; Pseudomonadati; Pseudomonadota; Betaproteobacteria; Burkholderiales; Oxalobacteraceae.